This 254-nucleotide ribosomal RNA is filed under the name uncultured bacterium. RNAcentral's name for it is "partial 16S ribosomal RNA". It matches the Rfam family "Bacterial small subunit ribosomal RNA", at positions 524 to 776 of the family's 1533-position model. The record is from RNAcentral.
UACGGAGGGUGCGAGCGUUAUCCGGAAUUACUGGGUUUAAAGGGUGCGUAGGCGGCUAUGUAAGUCAGAUAGUGAAAGUUUGCGGCUCAACCGUAAAAUUGCUUUUGAUACUGCAUAGCUAGAAUUAGGAUGAGGUUAGCGGAAUGUGGCAUGUAGCGGUGAAAUGCAUAGAUACGCCAUAGAACACCAAUUGCGAAGGCAGCUGGCUAGACCUAUAUUGACGCUGAGGCACGAAAGCGUGGGGAUCGAAUAGG